RNAcentral lists this ribosomal RNA (242 nucleotides) under Epichrysomallinae gen. n. 2 sp. 1222_18. Its description in RNAcentral is "partial 28S ribosomal RNA". It matches the Rfam family "Eukaryotic large subunit ribosomal RNA", at positions 967 to 1163 of the family's 3401-position model. The record is from RNAcentral. Lineage: Eukaryota; Metazoa; Arthropoda; Insecta; Hymenoptera; Epichrysomallidae.
UUUCCCUCAGGAUAGCUGGCACUCGCUCGAUAGCGAGUCUCAUCUGGUAAAGCGAAUGAUUAGAGGCCUUGGGGCCGAAACGACCUCAACCUAUUCUCAAACUUUAAAUGGGUGAGAUCUCUGGCUUGCUUGAACGUUGAAGCCACGAGAUCGCGUUUGAUGUGUGCAAAACACACACGAGCGCCUCACGGAUCAGAGUGCCAAGUGGGCCAAUUUUGGUAAGCAGAACUGGCGCUGUGGGA